UAACCAGUGUGGUUCUGGUAACUGGUAAAUAGUGUGGUUCUGGUAACUGGUAACCAGUGUGGUUCUGGUAACUGGUAAACAGUGUGGUUCUGGUAACUGGUAAACAGUGUGGUUCUGGUAAACAGUUGUGGUUCUGGUAACUGUUCUAACCGAUAUUUCCGGGUCUGUGGACUCUGUAGAUAGAAAUGGCUUGCAUUGAGUGGUAGCCCUGAUUCUCACAGACACAGGAGUAUGUCUCUUCUGCCUGUGUGAAGCAGGGAUGUCCCUCAGAGAUCGAUUUAUAGCCAGUAAUCAAAAAUAAUUGUAAACAAAAUACACUUAUUUGUCAUAGAAGGAUAAGAUUCAUAUGAUAUGAAAGGCAAGUUCCUACAAGUUCAGGAAGCCAUGCUAGAGCUCUGUGAGACAUUCACAGUGAUGGGGACAGAUGUUUUGAUUUAAAAAAACAGAUCACAUUUUCUCUAACACUAGAUAUUUAAAUAUGUAUUUUACAGUUAUAAGGAGGGUGAAAUAUUAUAGUCAGUCCUUUUAUAAAUUGAUUAUACUGUAUUUAGAACAAAAUACAAGUCAUUUCAAGCCCGAUUCAUACAGUUUUGUUGAUUCGGAAAUACAUUGUAAGAUAUUUAAUAUUUUCAUCAUAUUGUCCUGUGUACUUGUGUCCUCGAAAGUGACUACACCUCUGCAAUUUAUAAAAAAAUUUUUUUUACCUGGAAGGUGAGAUUUUAACCUCGGAGUAUGCAGGAUUACUAGUUAUUGUUUAUGGCCCUCAUGAUGAAUCCUUACUUCUGGGGAUUAGAUAGAUUACAAUGAUUUACAUUUAAGAGGUUUUAAAUAACACAUACAAACCAGAAAGACUCAUCCAUACACAGAGUACAGGGAUGUUUGAAACCAGAAAGACUCAUCCAUACACAGAGUACAGGGAUGUUUGAAACCAUAAAGACUCAUCCAUACACAGAGUACAGGGAUGUUUGAAACCAGAAAGACUCAUCCAUACACAGAGUACAGGGAUGUUUGAAACCAGAAAGACUCAUCCAUACACAGAGUACAGGGAUGUUUGAAACCAUAAAGACAUCCCUACCUACAGUAGAAGGAUGUUUUAAACCAUAAAGACAU
Molecule: long non-coding RNA, 1110 nt
Organism: Oncorhynchus tshawytscha (Chinook salmon)
Lineage: Eukaryota; Metazoa; Chordata; Actinopteri; Salmoniformes; Salmonidae
Source: Ensembl